GGGCGUAAAGGCGCCGCGCCAUGGUGGUUUUCUUAAGUUUGAUGUGAAAGCCCCACCGCCUCCAACCGUGGAGGGUCCAUUGGAAACUGGGAGACUUGAGUGCAGAAGAGGAAAAGUUGGACUCCCAUGUGUAGGCGGUGAAUUGCGUAGGAGAUAUGGAGAACCACCCAGGUGCCGAGGGCGACUUUUCUGUUCUGUAACUGACAUUGAGGCGCGAAAGCGUGGGGAGCAAACAGGAUAAGAUACCUUGGUAGUCCACCCGGUAAACGAUGAGUGCUAAGUGUAAGAGGUUUUCCGCCCUUUAGUGCGGAAGUAAACGCAUUAACCACUCCCCUUGGGGAGUACGGCCGCAAGGUUGAAACUCAAGGGAAUUGAGGGGGGCCCGCACAAGCGGUGGAGCAUGUGGUUUAAUUGGAAGCAACGGGAAGACCCUUACCAGGUCUUGACAUCUUUUGACAACCCAAGAGAUAGGGUUUUUCUUUCGGGAGCAGAGUGACAGGUGGUGCAUGGUGGUCGUCAGCUCGUGUCGUGAGAUGUUGGGUUAAGUCCCGCAACGAGCGCAACCCUUGAUUUUAGUUGCCAUCAUUAAGUUGGCCAUUUUAAGGUGACUCCCGGUGACAAACCGGAGGAAGGUGGGGAUGACGUCAAAUCAUCAUCCCCCUUAUGCCUUGGGCUACACACUUGUUCCAAUGGACGGUACAAAGAGCUGCAAGACCGGGAGGUGGAGUUAAUUUCAUAAAACCGUUUUCAGUUCGGAUUGUAGGCUGCAAUUCGCUUACAUGAAGCGGGAAUCGUUGGUAAUCGGGGAUCACCAUGCCGCGGUGAAUAGGUUCCCGGCCUUUGUACACACCCCCCGUCACACCACGAGAGUUUGUAACACCGGAAGUCGGUGGGGUAACCUUUGGAGCCAGC
RNAcentral lists this ribosomal RNA (912 nucleotides) under Bacillus sp. NMPG02. RNAcentral's name for it is "bacterial SSU rRNA". It matches the Rfam family "Bacterial small subunit ribosomal RNA", at positions 556 to 1453 of the family's 1533-position model. The record is from RNAcentral. Lineage: Bacteria; Bacillati; Bacillota; Bacilli; Caryophanales; Bacillaceae.